UUUAACUGAAGAGUUUGAUCAUGGCUCAGAUUGAACGCUGGCGGCAGGCUUAACACAUGCAAGUCGAGCGGGGGAAGGUAGCUUGCUACUGGACCUAGCGGCGGACGGGUGAGUAAUGCUUAGGAAUCUGCCUAUUAGUGGGGGACAACAUCUCGAAAGGGAUGCUAAUACCGCAUACGUCCUACGGGAGAAAGCAGGGGAUCUUCGGACCUUGCGCUAAUAGAUGAGCCUAAGUCGGAUUAGCUAGUUGGUGGGGUAAAGGCCUACCAAGGCGACGAUCUGUAGCGGGUCUGAGAGGAUGAUCCGCCACACUGGGACUGAGACACGGCCCAGACUCCUACGGGAGGCAGCAGUGGGGAAUAUUGGACAAUGGGGGGAACCCUGAUCCAGCCAUGCCGCGUGUGUGAAGAAGGCCUUAUGGUUGUAAAGCACUUUAAGCGAGGAGGAGGCUACUUUAGUUAAUACCUAGAGAUAGUGGACGUUACUCGCAGAAUAAGCACCGGCUAACUCUGUGCCAGCAGCCGCGGUAAUACAGAGGGUGCGAGCGUUAAUCGGAUUUACUGGGCGUAAAGCGUGCGUAGGCGGCUUAUUAAGUCGGAUGUGAAAUCCCCGAGCUUAACUUGGGAAUUGCAUUCGAUACUGGUGAGCUAGAGUAUGGGAGAGGAUGGUAGAAUUCCAGGUGUAGCGGUGAAAUGCGUAGAGAUCUGGAGGAAUACCGAUGGCGAAGGCAGCCAUCUGGCCUAAUACUGACGCUGAGGUACGAAAGCAUGGGGAGCAAACAGGAUUAGAUACCCUGGUAGUCCAUGCCGUAAACGAUGUCUACUAGCCGUUGGGGCCUUUGAGGCUUUAGUGGCGCAGCUAACGCGAUAAGUAGACCGCCUGGGGAGUACGGUCGCAAGACUAAAACUCAAAUGAAUUGACGGGGGCCCGCACAAGCGGUGGAGCAUGUGGUUUAAUUCGAUGCAACGCGAAGAACCUUACCUGGCCUUGACAUACUAGAAACUUUCCAGAGAUGGAUUGGUGCCUUCGGGAAUCUAGAUACAGGUGCUGCAUGGCUGUCGUCAGCUCGUGUCGUGAGAUGUUGGGUUAAGUCCCGCAACGAGCGCAACCCUUUUCCUUACUUGCCAGCAUUUCGGAUGGGAACUUUAAGGAUACUGCCAGUGACAAACUGGAGGAAGGCGGGGACGACGUCAAGUCAUCAUGGCCCUUACGGCCAGGGCUACACACGUGCUACAAUGGUCGGUACAAAGGGUUGCUACACAGCGAUGUGAUGCUAAUCUAAAAAAGCAGAUCGUAGUCC
Molecule: ribosomal RNA, 1300 nt
Filed under: Escherichia coli
Lineage: Bacteria; Pseudomonadati; Pseudomonadota; Gammaproteobacteria; Enterobacterales; Enterobacteriaceae
Description: bacterial SSU rRNA
Rfam family: Bacterial small subunit ribosomal RNA
Source: RNAcentral